Molecule: ribosomal RNA, 476 nt
Filed under: uncultured bacterium
Lineage: Bacteria
Description: partial 16S ribosomal RNA
Rfam family: Bacterial small subunit ribosomal RNA
Source: RNAcentral
GAUGAACGCUGGCGGCGUGCUUAACACAUGCAAGUCGAGCGAGUGAGUUCUUCGGAACAAUCUAGCGGCGGACGGGUGAGUAACACGUGGGCAACCUGCCUCAUAGAGGGGAAUAGCCUCCCGAAAGGGAGAUUAAUACCGCAUAAAAUUAUCGAGUGGCAUCACAUGAUAAUCAAAGGAGUAAUCCGCUAUGAGAUGGGCCCGCGGCGCAUUAGCUAGUUGGUGAGGUAACGGCUCACCAAGGCGACGAUGCGUAGCCGACCUGAGAGGGUGAUCGGCCACAUUGGGACUGGGACACGGCCCAGACUCCUACGGGAGGCAGCAGUGGGGAAUAUUGCACAAUGGGGGAAACCCUGAUGCAGCAACGCCGCGUGAGUGAUGAAGGUCUUCGGAUUGUAAAGCUCUGUCUUUGGGGACGAUAAUGACGGUACCCAAGGAGGAAGCCACGGCUAACUACGUGCCAGCCGCUGCAGUAA